RNAcentral lists this transfer RNA (75 nucleotides) under Thermorudis sp. Its description in RNAcentral is "tRNA-Met". It matches the Rfam family "tRNA". Rfam says of the family: Transfer RNA (tRNA) molecules are approximately 80 nucleotides in length. Their secondary structure includes four short double-helical elements and three loops (D, anti-codon, and T loops). Further hydrogen bonds mediate the characteristic L-shaped molecular structure. tRNAs have two regions of fundamental functional importance: the anti-codon, which is responsible for specific mRNA codon recognition, and the 3' end, to which the tRNAs corresponding amino acid is attached (by aminoacyl-tRNA synthetases). tRNAs cope with the degeneracy of the genetic code in two manners: having more than one tRNA (with a specific anti-codon) for a particular amino acid; and 'wobble' base-pairing, i.e. permitting non-standard base-pairing at the 3rd anti-codon position. RNAcentral also lists the same sequence under 2 other names. Lineage: Bacteria; Pseudomonadati; Thermomicrobiota; Thermomicrobia. The record is from RNAcentral.
GGGCCUGUAGCUCAGCGGCAGAGCAAGGGGCUCAUAACCUCAAGGUCGUAGGUUCGAAUCCUACCAGGCCCACCA